Molecule: non-coding RNA, 295 nt
Organism: Pelobates cultripes (western spadefoot toad)
Lineage: Eukaryota; Metazoa; Chordata; Amphibia; Anura; Pelobatidae
Source: the annotation of a GenBank genome assembly
AGUUACUUAACACUGAUCCCUCGCUCACUUCACUAAUCUGUUCUAAACAAUUCUCAUGUCCUUCAGUAAUGGAUGUGCACUCAACAAAUGAGAGUGCUGUUGUAAUUCAGCAGAUUGAGGUAUUUUUUAGAUACUUCUACUUGCAGCACAGAGAACUGAUGGCCUUGGCAUGACGGCGGGGAGGAGUGUGGGUGGAGCCUGACCCUGCGCCAAGGGACUUCAGCGCUGGAUUCAGGUAAGUGACUGAAUAGGUUUUAACCCCUUCACCUCCGCGGGAGAAGGGGACCUAUUAAAC